RNAcentral lists this non-coding RNA (21 nucleotides) under Caenorhabditis elegans. Lineage: Eukaryota; Metazoa; Nematoda; Chromadorea; Rhabditida; Rhabditidae. The record is from RNAcentral.
UGUUGCUGGCAAGUCCGUUAA